GCCCAUCUUAACAUUCCCUGAUGUGUAAACCCAGAGAAGUUCCCUAGUCUCUCUGGGUCUCUAUCUCCUCAUCUGCAAACGGGGACAGUACCUACAUACACCCUACAGGUACAAGGACACUAACAGAACCUCCCUCUUAAGGUUGUGAAGAAUGAAUGAGAUCAUGUCUCUGUCAGUCUGGACACAUCUAAUUACUCAUGAAAUGGCAGCUGUUCUUAGAAAUAGUGACUCUAACCUCAGGCAGCACAGAGGAUGCUAUUUUUGAAAUUCAACUUGUCCCAAAUGGAAAAAAGUAAUUUUGUUUGGUUUUCUUUUCCAUUUUGGUAGCACAACUAUUAGACUCAUUAAACUUGAAAAUCACUUUUACCCACUAAAAUUAAAAAAAAAAGUAUAGAUUUUAAAAAAUGAGGGUGACCUAAACUCACUUUGGUUAAAUGUGUUGUUCCACAGAUGAGAAACUGGGGUGUGGUUGGGCCAAAUGAGUCGACCAAAGUGACAGGUGGUCGAUGGCAGAAAUGUGCUCAGAAACUCCCGGAAACCCCAGGCCGGACUCUUGUCAGUCUGACUGCCUGGCCCUACCCGAAGUCACCCAAAAGGUCUCAAGAGAGUUGACAGGAUCCAGAGAUAGCCACCUGAUGAAACUGCUGUCAGUGUGUGAUUAUCGAAGAUUCAAAAACUAAGGAGUGCAAAAUGGUUAUCAUCCUUUCCAGCGAUCAAGGAUCUGCUGGCCUCCUCCUUGCUUGUCCCCAACCAGAGCCAGAGACAGCAUCCGCCAUGCGUCACGCGGCCCCAUGAAGUACGCACCUGCCUUCAUGUCUACACCUCAUUAACGUAACCGAUGAUGAGAAAGAAUGACAUGGUACCCAAAGCCCGUAUUAGCGCAGGCCAACUCCCAAAACAUCCCUUUGUGAGCUGGGCAGCUUUGUUCACUACAUGAUUCCACGCUACAGCAUCCUCUGUUUAUCAGAUGGCUUCAACCACGGGAACAUGGUGCCCCAGUCUUUGCUGAAGCACAUCCUUCACCGUGCAGUGCUGAAGUGUGGGAACAGACAGCUGAGAUGUCUCGGAGACAUGCAGCCAUGUACACGGAGGUCCAUGUAUGGACAAGACGUACAGAAAGACGGCAAUGGGGUGCUCUCUCCCGUCGCUGGAAGGAAACAGAAAUGUUCUCUGCUUUUGGCCGGAGAGUGCCCAGAUGAGCAGGACACUUGCCCAGCGGUUCUGCAGUAGUAACAGAGGCCAAUGUUGCAUUCCUCUCAUUUCCAAGCAAGCCACAGCAAUCCCAACAGUGCACAUGUAGGGAGUUUGUUCUUAAAUCACCCAACUGUGUCUCCCAGGAUGUACAUCCUAACAAAAGCAAAAUGGGAGCUAUUCACAAGCACACAACUUUUUAAUAUAAAAUUCUGAGUUGAAUUCUCUGUCACCUUACGUUUUCUUCUAAAGACUACAUCAUUUCCACAUGCAACUGUGUGCUUCAUAUAAGCCUAAUCCUUUUGCCCCUGCACCUUACGUUCUAGAUUUUCUUCCUAUGUCCUGCACAUUAAACGCAACUCAACUCCCGCAGAAUAAAAAUGUGCAGGUAUCAGGCUUUCUGUCUGUUUAUGACCAUGUGGUUGAAUUUCAGCAAAACUCGCAGAAUGUGGGAUCUCAAAAGAGAACUUGCAGAUGACCUCGUUUAUAUCUUCCGUGUAGCUUCUGGGGAAAUUGAGUCUGUAAUAGUUCGGUGACUUUGCUAAGACUCGGUAAUGACUAAGCCGAGACCAUGAAUUUCUGCUAUCUUGCAUUUCCCAUUUACUAUACGUUUAUUUUCUACCCAACAGGGUGAAGCAUUCGCCUGGUUACUUUUGCAGAACAGCCACUUCAGAAAACUGGCAGUUUCUUUCCAAGUUAAAUAUAUGUCUAUUCUACGACCCAGUGAUUCUGUUUCUAGGAACCUACCCAGGGGAAAUGAAAACAUAUGUCCAUAUAAAGACUUGUACAAAAAUGCUCAUAGCAGCUGUAUUCAUAAUAACCCCCAACUGGAAACAAUAUUAAUGUACAAUAAUAGGCCAAUGGAUAAACAAAUUGUGGUGUAUAUAUAAACUGGAACAUUAGUUAUUUUCGCAGGUAUUCUGGGCAAGCUCUCCUGAUGCAGUGAGCACAAAGAGGCAAGUUCAAUUCGCGUGGAUUAUCACCAGGGUCCUUUGUAGUCCUGGCCAUCUUCACUCAUUUCUUUGGUACAUCCCUUCUCUCACUGCUAGCCGAUUUUAUACCUCCUUCUCCCAAACCUCAAAUACUUUACAACUUCCUCAUCCAUCCUGCCUCCUCUCGUUACCCUGCAUGAAGUGCCUGGAUCCCUAGCCAGGGCCAACCCCUCUGCUUGCUUUCUGGACCCCCAGCCCUUCUACCUUCACGAUGACAUUGCUCUAGAAACUGUCCCCUCUCCUCCAUCAUUGAUCCCUCCCCCACCACAUUAACCGUUCACAUUAACACAAAACACACUUUAUUCUUGCCUGUCUGGACCCAACAUCCUCCUCCAGCUAUUACCCAUCCCUGCCUUCCCUCGGAGCCAACUCUCCAAAGACAUAUCUGUGUUUAACCCAUUCUAAGCUAAUCUUCCUAUUCCAACCUCUUUGUUAACAAAACAAGCUCCUAGUUUUGAUGAGACCUCGGCAUUGUUAAUUCCAAAGGGCAAUCUCAAGUCUUAUCUUACCCCAGUUUUCCACAGCAGCUGGAAAAACUGAUAAAUUUCCACCUCUCUGACACCACUAAUUUAUAUGCUUUCUGGAACAUUAUGCUUUCUUGGCUUGCUUUAUGAUUGAGGGCUCGCUCUCAGUUCCCUGUACUGUUUUUUCCCCUCCUGCUGCCUCUCAAACACUGGGGAGCCUGGGGCCUGGUCUCUGGACCUCUUCUCUUUGUACUCCCUAGAUGAUGGUCUUCAGACUCAUGACUUUCAGUCAUGCUACCCACCCUGGACGCUCAUGCUUGGAUCUCCAGCCAGGUCCUUGUCCUGCCUCCAGAAUAUGACAGCCACCUGCCAACCAGCCCCUUCAGCACAUCCAAGCUCCCCCACUCUCUCAAAUCCACUCCAAUCCCAGGAUUGCAUUCGGGCAAUGCCAACUUCUGGCUUUCCAUCCCACGUCCGACUCACCAGCAAACUCUGUCAGCCUCUCCCCUUGUGCUGCUUCUAAUCCGUUCCAUCUCAGCCACCCCACCACCACCCUCCUGCUCAGGUUACUGCAAUGGCUUUCGAGUUGUCUCCUCUGCUCCCCCUUUCACCCCCCAGGACCAGUGAUCCUUCUAAAUGAUUAACCAGAUCUUGUCGCUCUUCUGCUCAAAACACACCCAUGGCGUCCUGUCUCACGGAGAGCAAAGCCAACUUUUGUCACCAUCAUCUCUUUGAGCUCACAGUGGCUUCACUCUUUCUUCCCGCGUGGGUGUACCUGUGCGGACCACUCCUCGCCUCAAUUUCUGCACGUCCUUCAGGUCCCUGAGGCCUUUCUUGACACCUCCCACCCUCUCGCUCUCUUGCCGCCAUCUAACAUUUGUUCACUGACUGUCUCUCUCCACUAGAAUGCAAACUUCCCCAGGACAGGUAUUGUAUUUUAUUCCCUGUUGGACCCAGGGCCAGUAAUAGGCACUAUAAAUCUUGGUGGAGCAAACGAAUAACAAAAGAAUGCUACGCUUUGUAUUGAGUGGAACACGCUCCUUCUACUUCCUGCAACCAAAGCAUUAUAAAUAAAUUACAUUAGCAACAAAUUAGCUCGCUGAGACCAUCCGAGCUCUGUUCUCCAAAUCGCCAUGAGAGAAUCAAUAGCAGCGAAUCAAACCAUGAAGAAAUUCAAUCUUGCCUCCACGUGAAAUCAAAACAGCAUUUAUGGUAUGCAAAGUUACUUACUAAUUUGAUAAACAUUUCCGAACAGGCAAC
This is a long non-coding RNA of Felis catus (domestic cat), 3907 nucleotides long. RefSeq lists it as uncharacterized. The record is from RefSeq and is a predicted model, not a curated record. Lineage: Eukaryota; Metazoa; Chordata; Mammalia; Carnivora; Felidae. The transcript is spliced from 3 exons.